RNAcentral lists this long non-coding RNA (266 nucleotides) under Medicago truncatula (barrel medic). Its description in RNAcentral is "lncRNA gene42385". Lineage: Eukaryota; Viridiplantae; Streptophyta; Magnoliopsida; Fabales; Fabaceae. The record is from RNAcentral.
GAAGAUUUUUUGAUGAACAAUGUUGUCAACAUUGGUAUAGCAAAAAGUGUAAAAUAUGACAAAUGCUCCGCAAAUGGGUGUUUCAUACAAGUGAUAGGCUCAGUAACAAUUGAAGAAUGGUGAUGAGAGUGAUAACGAGAGUAUAGAUAAUGAUGAUGAAGUGCUCUAUGAAGCCAAUAGUAUAAAAACUCCACUGGUCCAGCAUGCAAUAUUGCUGUAAGAAUCACACCAUCUAUUCUCCACCAUGGUAAGUUAGAAGCCAUAGG